RNAcentral lists this long non-coding RNA (674 nucleotides) under Homo sapiens (human). Its description in RNAcentral is "long non-coding RNA NONHSAT144686.2". The record is from RNAcentral. Lineage: Eukaryota; Metazoa; Chordata; Mammalia; Primates; Hominidae.
GGCUGGAGUCAGGGACCUCCUCACCCACUCCCAGAGGUAAAUAGCAAAACCAGGACCCGGAGUGCCGGCCUCCCAGUCCCCUGCGCUUGCGCCAAAGCCCUUGCUGUCCUCCCACUGAGCUGGCCCCGGCCCCGCCUCACCCGAUUCUCUGCUGCUCCAGGACGUCGAGCCGCUCUGCCCUCUGGAUGACCUGCAGGAUGGCCUCCACCUCCGCCGGGCUGAGGUGCUGCUUCCUCCUCUGCUUCUCCGUCUGGUAGGUGUGCACGGACCAGCCCGUCUGCAGCCUCGAGAGGGAACAGCACAGACGGCGUGGAGGCCUCCCCGGUGCAAACUCCGGCAGCCCCUACCACAUCCACCAAGCCCCCCCGAGAACAGUCAGUGGACGGCCCAGGUGCCGCGUGCCGGGACGACGAGCGCGGGCAGCAGAGAUGGCCCAGGUGGCAACAGAGAUGGCCCAGGUGGCAACAGAGACGGCCCAGGUGGCAACAGAGACGGCCCAGGGAGAGAGUGGCAGCAGCAGAUCAAACCCCGGAGCCCCUGCCCUGGGUGGGUGCCAGCUUCCCUGAGACAUUCCGUGCCUGUGACAUUGCUGUGUGCAGAGAUGAACGAGACGGGAAAAGCCACUGCACCCUGAAGAACUACAAUAUGGUGGGGGUGGCAGAUGCCAAUCAAUG